Molecule: unclassified non-coding RNA, 335 nt
Filed under: soil metagenome
Description: partial contains 5.8S ribosomal RNA, internal transcribed spacer 2, and large subunit ribosomal RNA
Rfam family: 5.8S ribosomal RNA (bases 1-120)
Source: RNAcentral
GAUGAAGAACGCAGCGAAAUGCGAUAAGUAAUGUGAAUUGCAGAAUUCAGUGAAUCAUCGAAUCUUUGAACGCACAUUGCGCCCGCCAGUAUUCUGGCGGGCAUGCCUGUUCGAGCGUCAUUUCAACCAUCAAGCCCCCGGCUUGUGUUGGGGACCUGCGGCUGCCGCAGGCCCUGAAAACCAGUGGCGGGCUCGCUAGUCACUCCGAGCGUAGUAAUACAUCUCGCUCAGGGCGUGCUGCGGGUUCCGGCCGUUAAAAAGCCUUAUUUACCCAAGUUUGACCUCGGAUCAGGUAGGAAGACCCGCUGAACUUAAGCAUAUCAAUAAGCGGAGGA